This is a long non-coding RNA of Phasianus colchicus (ring-necked pheasant), 441 nucleotides long. RefSeq lists it as uncharacterized. The record is from RefSeq and is a predicted model, not a curated record. Lineage: Eukaryota; Metazoa; Chordata; Aves; Galliformes; Phasianidae.
AGUGGACUUCCUGUCUCAGAAGACCAAUGUGAAGUGACAUGUUGAGGCAGUACUGGCAUUUCUAUCAUCGCCAUUACCAGGGCUUGAGUUGAAGAAGGACAAAGAUAAAAGGCAGAGCCGAGCCAGGAAGAUACAAAAGGCAAAGGAGAACGAGCAAAGUGGAGCAUACAAGCAAAACAUCCCUUGUUUAGAAGAUGGGAAAGGAGAUUGUUCAGCUGCAAGAAGAGGAAACAGUAUCCUGGGCUGCAUUCAACAUAACUUUGCCAGCAGGUUGAUGAAGGUCAACCUCCACUCAGCACUGGUAAGACCAUAUUUGGAGUGCUGUCUCCAGUUAGGAUGUCUUACAUGAAUUCCCUCUGUGAGAUGCUGUGAACUACUAUGCUGUGUCCCUAUUCUCACAGAAAAUUAGAGAUAUGCAACAGCCAAUCUUUGUACAACAAC